GUACUAUACAUGCAGUCGAGCGGACAGAUGGGAGCUUGCUCCCUGAUGUUAGCGGCGGACGGGUGAGUAACACGUGGGUAACCUGCCUGUAAGACUGGGAUAACUCCGGGAAACCGGGGCUAAUACCGGAUGGUUGUUUGAACCGCAUGGUUCAAACAUAAAAGGUGGCUUCGGCUACCACUUACAGAUGGACCCGCGGCGCAUUAGCUAGUUGGUGAGGUAACGGCUCACCAAGGCAACGAUGCGUAGCCGACCUGAGAGGGUGAUCGGCCACACUGGGACUGAGACACGGCCCAGACUCCUACGGGAGGCAGCAGUAGGGAAUCUUCCGCAAUGGACGAAAGUCUGACGGAGCAACGCCGCGUGAGUGAUGAAGGUUUUCGGAUCGUAAAGCUCUGUUGUUAGGGAAGAACAAGUACCGUUCGAAUAGGGCGGUACCUUGACGGUACCUAACCAGAAAGCCACGGCUAACUACGUGCCAGCAGCCGCGGUAAUACGUAGGUGGCAAGCGUUGUCCGGAAUUAUUGGGCGUAAAGGGCUCGCAGGCGGUUUCUUAAGUCUGAUGUGAAAGCCCCCGGCUCAACCGGGGAGGGUCAUUGGAAACUGGGGAACUUGAGUGCAGAAAAGGAGAGUGGAAUUCCACGUGUAGCGGUGAAAUGCGUAUAGAUGUGGAAGAACACCAGUGGCGAAAGCGACUCUC
This 700-nucleotide ribosomal RNA is filed under the name Bacillus sp. (in: firmicutes). RNAcentral's name for it is "bacterial SSU rRNA". It matches the Rfam family "Bacterial small subunit ribosomal RNA", at positions 46 to 729 of the family's 1533-position model. The record is from RNAcentral. Lineage: Bacteria; Bacillati; Bacillota; Bacilli; Caryophanales; Bacillaceae.